GAUGAACGCUGGCGGCGUGCUUAAUACAUGCAAGUCGAACGGACAGGCCCUGCUCUUGCGGGGCGCUUGUUAGGCGAACGGGGGAGUAUAACGCGUGUAACCUCUCCCUGUCUUUGGGAUAUAACUUCGAAACAGGGGAGCAUAUCAGGUAGGAUCUUUUGCUGCACGGUGGGGGAAGGUAAGAGUCGGUGGUGCGGGAUGGUCUCGCGGCUUAUGAGCUGGUUGGUGUGGUAGUGGCUGACCAAGGUUGUGACGGAUAGCCGGCCUGAGAGGGUGACCGGCCACAUUGGGCCUGAGAUACGGCCCAGACUCCUACGGGAGGCAGCAGUGGGGAAUAUUGCACAAUGGGCGGAAGCCUGAUGCAGCAACGCCGCGUGCGGGAUGACGGCCUUCGGGUUGUAAACCGCUUUCGCCUGUGACGAAGCGUGAGUGACGGUAAUGGGUAAAGAAGCACCGGCUAACUACGUG
This 468-nucleotide ribosomal RNA is filed under the name uncultured bacterium. RNAcentral's name for it is "partial 16S ribosomal RNA". It matches the Rfam family "Bacterial small subunit ribosomal RNA", at positions 28 to 507 of the family's 1533-position model. The record is from RNAcentral.